Molecule: unclassified non-coding RNA, 328 nt
Filed under: soil metagenome
Description: partial contains 5.8S ribosomal RNA, internal transcribed spacer 2, and large subunit ribosomal RNA
Rfam family: 5.8S ribosomal RNA (bases 1-119)
Source: RNAcentral
GAUGAAGAACUAGCGAAAUGCGAUAAGUAAUGUGAAUUGCAGAAUUCAGUGAAUCAUCGAAUCUUUGAACGCACAUUGCGCCCCCUGGCAUUCCGGGGGGCAUGCCUGUUCGAGCGUCAUUACAACCCUCAAGCUCUGCUUGGUAUUGGGCUCUGCUGGGACCGGCAGGCCUUAAAAUCAGUGGCGGCGCCACUCGGCUUCAAGCGUAGUAAUUCUUCUCGCUUCGGAGACCCGGGUGCGUGCUAGCCAGCAACCCCCAACUUUCUUAGGUUGACCUCGGAUCAGGUAGGGAUACCCGCUGAACUUAAGCAUAUCAAUAAGCGGAGGA